This 94-nucleotide transfer RNA is filed under the name Danio rerio (zebrafish). It matches the Rfam family "tRNA". From Rfam's summary of the family: Transfer RNA (tRNA) molecules are approximately 80 nucleotides in length. Lineage: Eukaryota; Metazoa; Chordata; Actinopteri; Cypriniformes; Danionidae. The record is from Rfam by way of RNAcentral.
GCUCCAGUGGCGCAAUCGGUCAGCGCGCGGUUCUUAUAAGACAGUACGAUACUUAGCAAUGCCGAGGUUGUGAGUUCAAGCCUCACCUGGAGCA